UGGCAGUCGCUGUUCCACAAAUGCUGCUCACCAGGAACUCCAGAUUGCUGCUGGUGUGUAGGACAGAGGAUUCGGCUAUUGUGGGAAACCAGGGUUGGGGAAAGUUUCUUCAUAAGGCUGGGUUAUGAGUCUAGCUUAGAGGUCAUGUCUCACUCAGAAACUACCGAAGUCAUGCUAGGAACAGUGUAGAGACACGGGGAUAAUAAAAUCGUUGGGCUGAA
Long non-coding RNA from Dermochelys coriacea (leatherback sea turtle), 221 nucleotides. RefSeq lists it as uncharacterized. The transcript has 2 exons. The record is from RefSeq and is a predicted model, not a curated record. NCBI's taxonomy places the organism in Eukaryota, Metazoa, Chordata, Testudines, Dermochelyidae.